Molecule: small nuclear RNA, 108 nt
Organism: Sorex araneus (European shrew)
Lineage: Eukaryota; Metazoa; Chordata; Mammalia; Eulipotyphla; Soricidae
Source: Ensembl
GUGCUGUCACCCCAGCACAUAUACUAAAAUUGGAACUAUACAGAGAAGAUUAGCAUGGCCCCUGCACAAGGAUGACACACAAAUGAAUAUUAGCAUUGACCAAAAAAU